This is a long non-coding RNA of Oncorhynchus tshawytscha (Chinook salmon), 2620 nucleotides long. NCBI's taxonomy places the organism in Eukaryota, Metazoa, Chordata, Actinopteri, Salmoniformes, Salmonidae. The record is from Ensembl.
GAAAAAAUACAGUCAGAUUGGCCUGUUAAUGUGCCUUUCGAGACCUUAUAAACUGUCUAGAGUAGACAGACAACUGAUCCAAAUGGAAUGAAACAUUCAAACCACAAAGCUUUUGUGCAAUUAUUCAAAUGACAUUUUCACAGCAGCCAAGAGUAGAAUUUUGCCAGUCUAGGUAAGAUAAUGAUAUUGUCCCUUAACAAGAUCAAUAGGGUAGCUUUUUGAGCUGCUUGUCUCAUGUCUUCUUCCUUCAUGCUCAAUGAGGCACCUGGCCUCUCCUCUUUGUUCUUAUGGAUUCAAAUGAAUGCUUUUAUGUGUGCCAUGAUUGCUAUAGCCUAUUGCAGACCUGGACAAAUUAACCACCUACCACUAUUGUCACAAUGAAAGGUGGAGAGAGGGCUGGAUGGACUGGUAGAAUAUAUUGACCUGUGGUAUAGUAAAAGUUAGCACAGAUUAAAGCGCAGUGCAUAAGGAAAGUACCAAAACACAUUUAUAUAAGGGAAGGUAGAUGCAAGCAGAUGAGGACAUUUUCUAGGAUGGAAUAAACGAUAUAGUAAAACCUGCAAAAGAGCGAACGUGAACCAGAGAAAAGAGCACUACCCCCCCAAUCUGAGGGCCAGAUUGUCCAGGCUCUAUGGCCAUUGGGCCUUGUUGGGUGAGCUCAACUCCAUAGUUCACACCUGUGCAAAAUAAAAUGAUUGAUGAAGGUCCAAAGUAACCCAGCAUUAAUAAUUAAUUGGUCUUUUGAAAUAAUCAUAAUAAUAAAUGUAUGUGUAUUUUUAUUCACCCAAGAGGGACUCACAGGAUGCAGCUGCCAAAAGCAGCAGAGAUGCAGGUAACAUGGCUUGUGUUGAAGCUCAACUGGUGGAAGCUGCUCUUGUCUACUAAAAACAGAUUGUGUAUGGUUGUUAUAAGCUGCACCAAGCUGUAUUACUGACUGAAAUUCAAUACAAAAUGUUGUUAAUUAACUGAGUUGAUGUUAUCAAUAAACAAAUCCCCAUAAAAAUUCAUCAGUUUAAACUAGAGAUAUCUGACAGGGAUCAUCAACUAGAUUGAGCCAAGGUCUGCUUUUUCUUGAGCAGAUGGUCAGGGGCUGGAACAUAAUUACAAAUCAUUUGUAGACUGCAAAUUGACCUCAAGAAGCCCAAACAGACAUAAUAUUUGGCUACAUUUGACUACAUUACACUUGUAUACGAUCAAAUACAGUAUAUAUCUCUAUUAUGCUUGGGAAUACUUUGGAGAAGAUGUUCAAAAUUAAAAUGACUUGGAGCUGAUUUGUGUUUCUUUUUACAGUCUUUCAUGUUCAGAAAAAUACAAUUCGUAAUUUUUAAAAUAGUUUUCUAUCUUUUUUUGCUCAGAAAAUAUGGGGGGACAAAUAUAAUCACCUGCAAUUCAUCCUGAGGACAGCCAGUUGAGGAACCCUGCUGUAUAUAUAGACCUGAGCCCUAGGACCAUGCCCCAGGACUACCUGACAUGAUGACUCCUUGCUGUCCCCAGUCCACCUGGCCGUGCUGCUGCUCCAGUUUCAACUGUUCUGCCUUAUUAUUAUUAUUCGACCAUGCUGGUCAUUUAUGAACAUUUUAACAUCUUGGCCAUGUUCUGUUAUAAUCUCCACCCGGCACAGCCAGAAGAGGACUGGCCACCCCACAUAGCCUGGUUCCUCUCUAGGUUUCCUCCUAGGUUUUGGCCUUUGUAGGGAGUUUUUCCUAGCCACCGUGCUUCUACACCUGCAUUGCUUGCUGUUUGGGGUUUUAGGCUGGGUUUCUGUACAGCACUUUGAGAUAUCAGCUGAUGUACGAAGGGCAAUAUGAAUACAUUUGAUUUGAAAUUUGAUUAUUAUAAGUAGUGGUAGUAUUACCAUUUCCACCCACCCCUAUGUUUUAGUUAUCUGUUCUUAAUAAGAACAUAACACACUAUGUUAACUGAACACUUGUACUGUUCUAGUGAACAUAACACAUGCCCACUUGCUGUGUAUGGACAACUCCAUGACUACUAAACACCAGACAGUCAUCCAUUCCAUUGUUUAGUGAUAGUCAGGUUAGUGCAGGGCCAUAUAUCGUAAGAUUUUGAGUGAAAACCUCCUUCCAUCAGCAAGGGCAUUGAAGAUGAAACGUGGCUGGGUCUUUCAGCAUGACAAUGAUCCCAAACACAACGAAGGAGUGGCUUCGUAAGAAGCAUUUCAAGGUCCUGGAGUGGCCUAGCCAGUCUCCAGAUCUCAACCCCAUAGAAAAUCUUUGGAGAGAGUUGAAAGUCCGUGUUGCCUAGCAACAGCCCCAAAACAUCACUGCUCUAGAGGAGAUCUGCAUGAAGGAAUGGGCCAAAAUACCAGCAACAGUGUGUGAAAACCUUGUGAAGACUUACAGAAAACGUUUGACCUCUGUCAUUGCCAACAAAGGGUAUAUAACAAAGUAUUGAGAUAAACUUUUGUUAUUGACCAAAUACUUAUUUUCCACCAUAAUUUGCAAAUAAAUUAAUAAAAAAAUCCUACAAUGUGAUUUUCUGGAUUUCUUUUCUAAUUUUGUCUGUCAUAGUUGAAGUGUACCUAUGAUGCAAAUUACAGGCCUCUCUCAUCUUUUUAAGUGGUAGAACUUGCACAAUUGGUGGCUGACUAAAUACUUUUUUG